RNAcentral lists this ribosomal RNA (530 nucleotides) under Anastrangalia sequensi. Its description in RNAcentral is "partial 16S ribosomal RNA". It matches the Rfam family "Bacterial large subunit ribosomal RNA", at positions 1795 to 2593 of the family's 2925-position model. The record is from RNAcentral. Lineage: Eukaryota; Metazoa; Arthropoda; Insecta; Coleoptera; Cerambycidae.
UUCGCCUGGUUACAAAAACAUGGCCUUACGUUGAUAAUUUAAGGUCUAGCCUGCCCACUGAAAAUUUAAAUGGCCGCAGUAUUUUGACUGUGCAAAGGUAGCAUAAUCAUUAGUUUUUUAAUUGAAAGCUGGAAUGAAAGGUUGAAUGAGAAAAAAACUGUCUCUAUUUAAAUUAUUAAAGAAUUUUAUUUUUAAGUUAAAAAGCUUAAAUUUUUUUAAAAGACGAGAAGACCCUAUAGAGUUUUAUAAAAUUUAAAUAAUGAAGUUUUUAGAAUUUUAAUUUUUAUUAGUUAAUUUUUAUUUGAUUGGGGUGAUUGAAAAAUUUAAUAAACUUUUUUUUUAGAAAAACAUUAAUUUAUGAAUAUUUGAUCCAUUAAUUAUGAUUAAAAGAUAAAAUUACCUUAGGGAUAACAGCGUAAUUUUUUUUUAGAGUCCAAAUUAAAAAAAAAGAUUGCGACCUCGAUGUUGGAUUAAAAUUAAUUUUUGGUGCAGAAGCUAAAAUAUGUUUGGUCUGUUCGACUCCAUUAAUA